RNAcentral lists this ribosomal RNA (465 nucleotides) under uncultured bacterium. RNAcentral's name for it is "partial 16S ribosomal RNA". It matches the Rfam family "Bacterial small subunit ribosomal RNA", at positions 28 to 507 of the family's 1533-position model. The record is from RNAcentral.
GACGAACGCUGGCGGCGUGCUUAACACAUGCAAGUCGAACGGAAAGGUCCUGCGUGCAGGGUACUCGAGUUGCGAACGGGUGGGUAACACGCGGGUGAUCUGCCCUGCACUUCGGGAUAAGCCUGGGCAACUGGGUCUAAUACCUGACAGGAGCCAUUUUGAGUCGGAUGGUUGGAAAGUUAUUUGGGUGUUGGAUGAGCUCGCGGCGUAUCAGCUUGCUGGUUGGGUAAUGUCCUACCAAGGCGGCGACGGGUAGCCGGCCUGCGAGGGUGGACGGCCACAUAGGGACUGAGAGACGGCACAGACUCGUACGGGAGGCAGCAGUGGGGAAUAUUGCAGAAUGGGCGCAAGGCUGAUGCAGAGACGCUGCGUGGGGGAUGACGGCCUUAGGGUUGUAAACUAAUUUCGCUAGGGACGAAGCUUUUUGUGACGGUACCUAGAUAAGAAGCACCGGCUAACUACGUG